This is a long non-coding RNA of Brassica rapa (field mustard), 4358 nucleotides long. RefSeq lists it as uncharacterized. NCBI's taxonomy places the organism in Eukaryota, Viridiplantae, Streptophyta, Magnoliopsida, Brassicales, Brassicaceae. The record is from RefSeq and is a predicted model, not a curated record.
UUUAAUUUAUAUCACUUAACACUGUUUAUAAUUACAUGAUAUUAAUUUUUCGCUUAUCAAAAUAUUUUUUUAAAAAUUUAUAAAUUAUUUUUAAGAUCAGCUACGCCAGAAGACUUACUUUGAAGUUGUCCAGACGACUUCCAACAUCUCAGACGACUCAGACGACUUACUAGGGCUAUAUUCGUAAAAAUAGCUUAUGUUCUUUUGUUUGGUCAUAAGGAACUGGACUGUAAUUUCACAAGGUUUUUAGGUUAGUUUUGCAUUUGAUUCAAAUUUGGGUAUAGGUUUGGGAUUAAAGUCAAGUUGUGGGUUAGUUUUGGCAAAUUCACCUAUAAGAAAUAUAAAUAUAUUACAUUAAAUAUCUAUUUUAAUAUUUGAAUAAGUAAAUAUGCAAUAUAAGAAAAAAUAAAUAAUAAGGAAAUAUGCAGUAGAAGAAACACAAAUAUUUUGUUAAACAUUUAUCGUAGUAUUUUUAUUUAAUAAAAAAUAAAAAAAUAUUAGAAUAAAUAAAUAUACAAUAUAAUAAAAAUUUAAACAAUAAGUAAAUAUACAAUAUAAAAAAUAAAAUUAUUACAUUAAACAUCUAGCGUAAUAUUAGUAUAAGUAAAUAUACAAUAUAGAAGAAAUAAAUAAUAAAAAAUAUAUAAUAGAAAAAAUGGAAAUAAUAUAGUAUUAACUAUCUAUUUGAAAAAAGUUAAAUAAAAUAAAUAAUAAGUAAAUAUUAUAUUAAAUAUCUUUUAGUAUUAUCAUUUGAUAUAAAACAUCAAGAAUAGUUAGAUAAUUAAGAUUUGAAAAUCAAUAUAAUUCCUCGCAUAGCGCGGAUUAAUUCCUAGCAUACAAAAUAUAAGAAAUGAAAAAAAAAAAUAUUAAACAUCUAUCUGAAAAAUGUAUACAUUUUUAAAUAUUUCUAUAUGUAAAUAUACAAUAUAAGAAAAACAAACAUACAAUAUAAGAAAUACAAAAUAUUACAUUAAAUAUAUAUCGUAAUAUUAUUCUCUGAUAUAAAAGCAGAAAAAUAUAAUAAGUAAAUAUAAAAUAUAAGAAAAAAUUGAACAAUAAGUAAAGAGAAUUUGUACUUCCUACACACCAAAUAUCCCCUAUUUGCACUCCAUACUCUAUAUCCCUCCAAUUUUCUUCCCCCCAUCAUUACCAUUUUCCCCCAUUUGUAUGGUAUCUCACCCUUUUAAAUAUAUUGAGCUAAUUUGCUCAUAAGUAAAUAUAAAAUUAAUAAAUGAAAAAAAAAAUUAAACAUCUCUUUGAAAAAUAUAUAGUAAAAUAAAAAUCCUUACUAAGAAAAGAUACUUUUUGAGGUUCUAUUUAGCGUCCAUAUCAGCAAAAAAAAAACUUCUCUCGAAAGAUGCAACGUGUCUCUAUUAAACAAAUUUCCUAUUUUGUUUGUCUUCUUUCUAAUGGAUUUAUACGUAUUAGUAUUUUCUAGGUUUUAAAAAUUUAUUUGGGCCUAAAACUAACGAAGCUUCGCCCAAUAAACCCUUUCUCUUCCCCUAAUAAGCUCACCCUAUUUCCGGAGAUGUCUAAAUAGAAACGAUAAAAAGCUUCAUCUAAGCCACCGUUAUGUUUCGCAGUAAAAUCAUGCAAUCAAGUUCACACAAUCCCACAAACUCUUUUUCAAUGGAGCUUUAAUCAUAUCUUCAGUAGCCCAGUUCCGUAUAUAAAUACACCGGCUACAAGCAUAAGCCUAAUUUUUCAGAAUUCACAGGGUCUCUUAUUCAUUUAAGUGCUUCUUCGGUCAUGUAGACUUCUCAAAUUCGAUUUCAAGAGCUGAAGGCAUGCAGCUGCACACAAAGGGCAGUGAACUCAUGAAUGUUGACAUGCUGCUCACUGAUGUGAAGGCUUCGUUCAUCCAAGCCUCUGUAACCGUGCAUCGGAUCACCACAGUCAAAAAAUACACUUUGAAGAAAAUGAUCAAUGAGAGAUUGAGCCAGGCGAUCUUGGUGAGUGGUAAAAGCAGUGCUGGGAAUAUAGAGAGCAUAAAGAAGCUCAUGUGGUUACUCGCCUACAUGGGGGGAAAGUGUUGAUAGUAAAGAACGAUCUGUGGAGCAACAAAUUUUGGAGAUAUUCCAAUCCAGUUUUAGAAGCUUAUGGCAAUGCGAAAACCGAAAGAAACAGUACUUCACGGUAAAGUGGAUGGGUCUCAAGUUUGGUAAUUUGUCCAUUUUUAAUUAUAAUCCCUUGAACCUAAAUUUAAGAUACUUAGACAUAUCCCACGUUGCAAUUGUUUUGGUAAUUUGCUGGAGAUUCAAAACGACGACAGAGGAAUAAUCUCGGGAGCUAUAACAGGAUAUUUUUGUUAGAGAGGUUGUGGGUUUGUCAAGUUUAGUACUCUGAAAGAUAUUAUUAUGUAUUUUAUACGAUUUGUGCUGCACUAGAAAAGGUAAGCCUGAUUUCUUCUAUGGUGGUGAUAGGUUUAAAUUUUAGAUAUCAUGUAUGCGUUGGAUGGGUUAAUGAUUCCAAGGAAUACAUAAAUACAAGGAAAGCUAUUGACGAUGUUGGGCUUUGAUUCUGAAGAUCAGGAUGCAUUCUUCCGUGUAGUGGCUGCAUUCCUUCAUCUAGGGAACAUGGAGCUUGCAGAGGGUGAAGAAUGAGAAACUUCAGAAUCUUAAACUUGACGAGAAUCGUUCCGUUUAAACCUCAAAGUUGUUCAUGCUAACGCUAAGGAAUUCAUCGUAGCAAGAUGUUAAGCAACAUUGUGUUCGGAAUCAGUGUCAUAUGGUGUUGAUGUGGCAGUUUGGACUUCACGUCGUAUCAUUGAUCUAAUAAAGCUAGGAGUUUUAUAUCUAUCUAAGGUUCAAAUUCCUUUUAUUUGUCAGGGAAUCUCUUCGUUGAGACGUUCGAUCUAUUAUAAGGAAGAAAUCAACAUUUGAUUGCAGUAAAGGCAAAUUUAAUAAUAUAUUUCAAGAGGGAGGGUGACACUGAUAAAAAUACAGUAGAACGACAAAACCUCUCUUUUACUUUUUGCCAGCUCCAUCACCAGGCUGAGAGACAUUGUUUUAAGCAGCUUGGUUGUCUCACCACAUUGCCAAUCUUUUCAUGGAUAUUGCUUAACAUGUCAACAGUUUUGGAGAACUCAUUUUCUAAAUUAACAACAAAUUCGCUAGGCCCACCAGUGGCUCGAAUGGAGAUCACAUACGUGGCUUGCCUCCCCCUCCACUCAUGGUACCAGUGUUUUCAAAGAGAGUGCCGCCAUCUAAUAGUACAACUUUGAAUCCACAGAAACCUUGAUUUUUGGGAGGUAUUAGUCAUCUUCUUUUUCAUUAUAUCAGCUGAGCUUAGCUGAGUUCAUAUUACGGCAAGUAAAUAAAAUUUGUUGCUGCUGACAAAAAAAAUAAAAUAAUAAUAAUAAAUUUUGUUGCUAAGCCAGUCUUAAUGAGCAAACUAGAAUAAAUUUUUUUGCUAAGCCAGCCAUCUUCUAAUUUGUUGCUAAGAUAUAACAAAUAAAACAAUAACCUUUUUUUUUGUAAAAGAAUCCAAAUGUAUACAUGAUCUAAUCUAAAAAUACAUACACUUCAGGAAAAGGUAAAAAUUUCAUAAGAACAAAAAAGCAAGAUAAUCUAUUUAUGAUAUUUUUAAAAAUGUUCUUCAGAUCCAACAAACGAAAAAAUUAUUAUGAAUACCUUUUUAUUUUGUGGUUAAUUAGUAAUUACCAAACUUAAUCUUAUAAAUUAACAUAAAACUGAUGCAGCAAUGAUUAAUCAAAAUACAUUUUUAAAAUAACAAAAUUUAAUAAAUAAAAUAAUUAAACACCAUACAUGAUGCAUAUUCUAAUUAAUAAAGCAUCGUUUUUUUAAAAAACAAAAUUGCGCCACAACACCGUUUUUUGCUUUUUAAAAUUAAAGCAGAUAAAUAUUUGUUUAUUUAAAAAUACUAAAAUAAAUAAUUAUAAAAUUUGGAUAAGCUCCAUGAUACACAAUAAAUUUACAAAGAAAAUACGUCAUCCGUUUCUAAAUAAGUGUACUUUAGUCAACUAUAACAACUUUGUGAAAACAAAAAUAAAGUGAAUAGUUGGACGAGAACCACAAUAUACAAUAACCAUAUAAAACACAUAGAAACAUAUAUGAUAUAAAAUAUUAUCCAAUUCAACAAAUUACAAAUAUGUUAUUAUGUAGUCAACUGUAACAACUUUGGAUCGCAAUAUCGUAUACGUGUUCAAAUCAUUCUUAAAACAAACUCCCUAGACUUACAAAUUUGGAAGGUAAUCAGAUCAUUCUUUAGAAAAUAAAAGAACACCCAAGAGUAAAACAGCAAAAGAAAAAUUGCUGGAACACAAACACAAGAUAUGAAAUGAAACAAAAGAAAACACCGUUAGUUAAGUAAACACAAACACAACAUGUAAAAAAAAA